UUCGAUUGUUUCUGGUGUCAGUUUUG
Molecule: small RNA, 26 nt
Filed under: Bombyx mori (domestic silkworm)
Lineage: Eukaryota; Metazoa; Arthropoda; Insecta; Lepidoptera; Bombycidae
Description: ovarian small RNA-37397
Source: RNAcentral